GGGGAAUCUUCCGCAAUGGGCGCAAGCCUGACGGAGCAAUACCGCGUGAGGGAUGACGGCCCUUGGGUUGUAAACCUCUUUUAUCAAGGAGGAAGUUCUGACGUGUACUUGAUGAAUAAGCAUCGGCUAACUCCGUGCCAGCAGCCGCGGUAAGACGGAGGAUGCAAGUGUUAUCCGGAAUCACUGGGCGUAAAGCGUCUGUAGGUGGUUCGAAAAGUCCACUGUUAAAAAUUGAGGCUUAACUUCAAAGAUGCCGUGGAAACUUUCAAACUAGAGUAUGGUAGGGGUAGAGGGAAUUUCCAGUGGAGCGGUGAAAUGCGUAGAUAUUGGAAAGACCACCGAUGGCGAAGGCACUCUACUGGGCCAAUACUGACAUUGAGAGACGAAAGCUAGGGGAGCAAAAGGGAUUAGAUACCCCUGUAGUC
RNAcentral lists this ribosomal RNA (425 nucleotides) under uncultured bacterium. Its description in RNAcentral is "bacterial SSU rRNA". It matches the Rfam family "Bacterial small subunit ribosomal RNA", at positions 356 to 795 of the family's 1533-position model. The record is from RNAcentral.